RNAcentral lists this ribosomal RNA (2048 nucleotides) under Naegleria galeacystis. Its description in RNAcentral is "SSU rRNA". It matches the Rfam family "Eukaryotic small subunit ribosomal RNA". The record is from RNAcentral. Lineage: Eukaryota; Heterolobosea; Eutetramitea; Acrasida; Naegleriidae.
CCGAAUUCGUCGACAACCUGGUUGAUCCUGCCAGUACUAUAUGCUUGUCUCAAAGCCUAAGCCAUGCAAAUCUAAGAUCAAUCAUAUGCGGUUUCGGCCGUGUAUAAUGAUAGUCUGUGGAAGGCUCAUUAUAACAGUUAUACUCCUAGCCACUGGAAAGUUUACAAGGAUACCACCGUUAACUGCAGCGAUAAUACUUGUUCCCUUCGGGGUGGUAAUAGUAUUUGUGCUGAAGCCUAGCUAUUGUAACCUAGUUUUUCGGGUGUGGCAACAUAUUCGGGGAAUUAGGAAUCGACCGCUAGCAGGUGCCUUCGGGCGCGGGAAAGUGAAUUAACAAGGUUUUCAUAAGGCCUUUCAGGUUUGCUUUUUCUAGUGGCCAGGCAGAGGAGUUUCUUACCUAUCAGCUCGUUGUUUGUUUAAAGGACAAACCAGGCUUUGACGGGUACGGGGAAUCAGUGUUCGAUUCCGGAGAGGGAGCCUGAGAAAUCGCUACCACAUCUAAGGACGGCAGCAGGCGCGCAAAUUACCCAAUCUCAAUACGAGGAGGUAGUGACAAGCUAUAGUGACUCCACACUAUUUAGUGGGGAGGUAUUGUCUUUUGACGAUUUUCCAUGAUUUGGGUGUAGAUAACCCUUAGAGUAGCCAUUGGAGGAAAAGUCUGGUGCCAGCACCGCGGUAAUUCCAGCUCCAAGAGCGUAUAUUAAUACUGCUGUAGUUAAAACGCCCGUAGUAUACCUAAGAGUGUGCGUGUAGUAAUUAGUUUUGUCAGAGGACGGUCGGCGAGUGUUUAUCACACUUGCUUGCCUUACUUUUGGCAAACUUCAGUCGGGCUGGAUCUUUGGUCCUCGUCUGACAGUUGCUGCGCGUGUACUUGUCCACGGUUCAUCCGUGAGGCCCAUUUGGGUUGCAACUGUAAAUAAAUCGUUGUGCUUAAAGCGGGCUAUGAUACUCUGCCAGAGCGAUUUAGCAUGGGACUGCAGAGUAGCUGUAUUUGAGUGAAGGUUGUACUUCGGUAUGGCUGGAUCUUGGUACAGCGCUUGUAAUGGAGCUCAGGGUGAGGCCCCGGGUACCAUGAGGCUAGAGGUGAAAUUCUGAGACCCUCAUGUGACCAACUAAGGCGAAAGCUGUCGUGGGCCACCACAAGCUCGUCUAUCAGGGACGAAAGUUGGGGGAUCGAAGACGAUUAGAUACCGUCGUAGUCCCAACUAUAAACGAUACCAACCGAGUAUUUGGGAAGACACUAUCCCAGCGAUCUUCUCAGAACUCAAGGGAAACCUUAAGUCUUUGGGUUCUGGGGGGAGUAUAGUCGCAAGACCGAAACUUAAAGGAAUUGACGGAAAGGCACCACCAGGAGUGGAGUCUGCGGCUUAAUUCGACUCAACACGGGGAAACUCACCAGGUCAGGACACAAGUUUGAUUGACAGGUUAAUAGCCCUUUCUUGAUUGUGUGGUGGGUAGUGCAUGGCCGUUUCCAGUUCGUGGAGUGAUCUGUCUUGUUAAUUCAGAUAACGAACGAGACCUAAGCCUUUAACUAGCCGUAGGCCUUUUCCUUCGGGGAAGGGUUAGUUUGUCGGAACUGGCUUCGGCCUUUUCCAAAACCUACGAGACUUUUGUCAGCUUCUUAAAGGGACUUCAUUCGUAAACUAGGAUGAGGAAGAUUUAGGCCAUAACAGGUCUGUGAUGCUCUUAGAUGUCCUGGGCUGCACGCGUACUACAAUAACGGUAYCAGCGAGCGCUAUGGUUUUUAACCCCUUAUCCUAAUAGGAUUGGGAAAACUUUUCAAACACCGUUAUGACAGGGAUCGAGGAUUGGAACAUCCUCGUGAACGAGGAAUUCCUAGUAAGCGUGGUUCAUCAUACCACAUUGAUUACGUCCCUGCCUUUUGUACACACCGCCCGUCGCUCCUACCGAUGGGACGAAGAGAUGAACCUGGCGGACCAAACCGCAAGGUAAGGGAAACCAGUUAAAUCUCUUCGUCUGUAGGAAGGAAAAGUCGUAACAAGGUCUUCGUAGGUGAACCUGCAGAAGGAUCAAGCUUGGAUCCCGGG